UACGGGGGGGGCAAGCGUUGUUCGGAAUUACUGGGCGUAAAGGGCUCGUAGGUGGCCAACUAAGUCAGACGUGAAAUCCCCAGGCUUAACCUGGGAACUGCGUCUGAUACUGGAUGGCUUGAAUUCGGGAGAGGGAUGCAGAAUUCCAGGUGUAGCGGUGAAAUGCGUAGAUAUCUGGAGGAAUACCGGUGGCGAAGGCGGCAUCCUGGACCGAUAUUGACACUGAUGAGCGAAAGCUAGGGGAGCAAACGGG
RNAcentral lists this ribosomal RNA (253 nucleotides) under uncultured bacterium. RNAcentral's name for it is "partial 16S ribosomal RNA". It matches the Rfam family "Bacterial small subunit ribosomal RNA", at positions 524 to 776 of the family's 1533-position model. The record is from RNAcentral.